CCUACGGGCGGCAGCAGUGGGGAAUAUUGGACAAUGGGGGCAACCCUGAUCCAGCCAUGCCGCGUGUGUGAAGAAGGCCCUCGGGUUGUAAAGCACUUUCAGUGAGGAAGAACGCCUGGUGGUUAAUACCCAUCAGGAAAGACAUCACUCACAGAAGAAGCACCGGCUAACUCCGUGCCAGCAGCCGCGGUAAUACGGAGGGUGCGAGCGUUAAUCGGAAUUACUGGGCGUAAAGCGCGCGUAGGUGGCUUGAUAAGCCGGUUGUGAAAGCCCCGGGCUCAACCUGGGAACGGCAUCCGGAACUGUCAAGCUAGAGUGCAGGAGAGGAAGGUAGAAUUCCCGGUGUAGCGGUGAAAUGCGUAGAGGUCGGGAGGAAUACCAGUGGCGAAGGCGGCCUUCUGGACUGACACUGACACUGAGGUGCGAAAGCGUGGGUAGCAAACAGGAUUAGAUACCCUAGUAGUC
RNAcentral lists this ribosomal RNA (465 nucleotides) under Vreelandella stevensii. RNAcentral describes it as "partial 16S ribosomal RNA". It matches the Rfam family "Bacterial small subunit ribosomal RNA", at positions 338 to 795 of the family's 1533-position model. The record is from RNAcentral. Lineage: Bacteria; Pseudomonadati; Pseudomonadota; Gammaproteobacteria; Oceanospirillales; Halomonadaceae.